Venturia canescens is the source of this 4782-nucleotide long non-coding RNA. RefSeq lists it as uncharacterized. The record is from RefSeq and is a predicted model, not a curated record. The transcript is spliced from 2 exons. Lineage: Eukaryota; Metazoa; Arthropoda; Insecta; Hymenoptera; Ichneumonidae.
UUAAUCCCUCUGUAAUACUAUUCUAAAAGAAAAGAAGAAAAAAUUCACCAAUUUCUGUUGUCGUUUUUUUCCUCUCUCUCUCUCUCUCUCUCUCUUUUUUUGCCAACUUUUUUUUUCUUGAUAUAUAUUGCCCGAUGCACACUCGCCUUCCUCCCGCAUUAUUUGUUCAUCGUCUUGCGACUUCACGAACGCGGGAAGUGACAAUUUUUAAUGCCUUUUUUUUCAACGAUUGCGUUGGCGAAGAAAAACCGUUGGAGGUGAAAGAUUAUCGUAUCAAUUCGAAACAGUAUCGUGUAUUUUAACGUUUCUCCUUGAUUUAUUGAUUCCCAAAUCGUGGAGAAUGAAACUUGGAGGGAGAAAUCUAUAGCGCAAUUGAAAUCGUGCUGAUUCGAAAUGACUGAAUCAUUCUAUUCUCAAUUAUUUCUACGCUCGAGAUCAUCCUGGAAUCUCGGUUGCGUUGAGGUUGAUACGAUAAUCCGAGGACCGAGUGAUCGGCAAGAAUCAUGUGCGCUCGUGACUCCCUCGGUGGCGGGGAAAUAAAACCGCCUCGUUUUCUCGACGUUUACUCAAAUCGAAGUAAUUCGCGAGUGCGAAUGUCCUCGCAAAUUACUGUAGCGAAUGGCCGGACGAAAACACGGUUACGGACGAAAAAAGGGGUCUCGAGAGCUCACCGAGUCCGUGAGAAGCAACGCUGCCAUCGUGUAACUCGAUGACGAUGCGGAGGAAAAGUCCAAGUCAAAUGGGGGAAGAGAAGCUGAGAGGCUGCGACUCUCCUGCUCCGUAUGGCCCGGAAGUCGAAUGCGAAGGUUUGGAUUGUCCGUGCGCGGGAGCGGCAACGAAGUUGAAUGGGAUUUGGCACCGAGGCAGAAGGCAGAUGAAAAAACGAGAAGAGUGAAAAACGACACCCAUCCGGACUGUGCGACUCUCAUUUUUCGUUUUUUCCUUAACUCUCAAAUUUAAUUUUUCAUUUAUUUCAAUUAGCUCUGGAUUAAAAACAAAGUGUUUUCGUAACAUAGACUGUAAGCGCUUGCUGGGCUGUGGUGUUCCACAAUCCAAGGUCACCCGAUUGCCACGGUCAAGACUCCUCGAAAACCUGAAAAUAUCGAUCAGCAACGCAAAUUACGUAAAAAGAGUCCUCUCCGGCUGACUUCGAACGCGCUAAUCGCGACCCGGCAGUCCAGUGACCUUGCCACAUAUAACCACAUCUAACAACAGACAAACAAACAGAUAUGACAUUGAAAUUGAAUCCUCGAAGUUUGUAAGUGUCUCCGUCGCUCUAGCGAAUUACAAGACUGUACGUUUUUCUCUGAAUAUACCCGCAAAUGUGUGUAUUCACACGUAUUUUUGGCAAAAUCAAGACCAUCCAUUUUUCUCUCUACAGUCGAAUCCCCUUAUGAGCCCCGUUCUCGACGCGGAGAGUCUCCCCCAUUCUGAAGCGUUUUGGGGGCGUGGUUUAGCAGAUCGACUGGGAAUGAGGGUCCAUUUUUGAUGUGCAUCGUUAUAGAAAUAGUCCAGUCGAGAUAGACAUUGAAAUAGAAAAAAUUAGGGAAAAAAAUUUGCAGAUAGUACGACUCUGCAAAUAUUGAUCCUAGCGUAAAAAUGAUAAUGACCAAACUUGUGGGAAAUCAAAUUUCCAACAACUUUGGAUACCACCAUUUUUGCUCUAAAAUUGAAAAUUAACGAGUUAUUUCUGAAAAACGAAAAAAUUGAACUUCAAAUCGAGAUGGCGGCGAAUGCACAGGCAGGAUUGCGCCGAAAAUCGAUAUUUAGACUUCCACCCCUCCCCCUCCCGACGUUAAAAAAAAAUCGCUGCCCCUAAUUUUUUCUAUUUAAGGCUGUUUUUAUGUCUAUCUCGACUGGACUAAAAAGCCUGGCGAGCGAGUGCUUUUGAGCAGUUGAAGCUAUUUGGCCAGCAGAGGUCAGUGUGCGACUUGUGAGUUCCCAAUAAGCUCGGAGCAAAUUUCUGACUUCAAAUCGAUUUAUAUUAUGGAAUAUAUCGAUUCUGGUAUCGUGUACAGAUGCAUAAUGACGCGGGGGGGCUUAAAUUUCGCCCGCAGCCCUUCGGCAGGCUUACAAAGGGAUUGGACUGUACCAAUAUCGGCAGUGGCCGUUUCUCGAUCGUAGCGCAACGCUGAAAAUAUCGUUUGGGAGAAAAUACGUUUUCGACGGUCCUCGGAACGCGGAUGGGAAUUGAAAAAAUUUUAAUCGCGAACAACCGUCCGAUAUAUUCGUUUCGUGAUCGCGAAUUCGAGAGGCGGCCACGACCGAUGGGAAUAAUUGUUAACCGUUAAGUAUCGCUCGUAAAGCAAUAAGCUAGGGCUUCAUUGUAAGAAUGUCGUUAAAAAUUGGAAAGUCUAAGUAAGCAUCCUCGAUUCGCUGAGAGGAAUCUUCAUUUCGGAGUAUCUUUUCGUUUCCUCGUUUAAAUUUGAUUUUCUAGCACCAAAGCCCCUUUUGAAAACCCUCUCUCGUUACCGUCACACACCGAGACCACAACCGGCACCACCACAACCACCACCGACCAUCAUUACCACCACCAAAAUGAAACAUCACAUCACUACAAUAUCUCUCGACACUGUAGCUCUCAUUGGGUUAUCUCAAAACAAUGAUCCUCAAACCUCUCGUCGUUCUGAUGUAACCAACGAUUUAUUUCCACACACCCCCCCCCCCCCCCCAGCCCUCAGCCCUCACUCUUACUCUCAGUGUUUCUACUUUUCCAGCCCAUUUCCACUGUGUAUCGCAUAUUAUCGGUGUGACGGUAUAUCUUUCGUUAUUGGUAACAAAAUUUUUCGUUUUUCACUCUUUAUCAUGCCUCGUAGCAGCUUGAAGGACGCUUGUGUCGCCCAAAUUUUAGUCCAACACUCCGACAAACGUCACGAUAAAUCUGUUCAUUUUUAGUCUCAUAUUCACCGAGAAAAUGGUGGCUUCCGAAUACUCGAUUCGCCCGUGUCUUUUGUUUAACUUUCGCAACUCUGUCGUUUGACUAAUUUGGAGAAAAGUUGCGUCAGCCUCCCUCGCUGCGGAGUUGACUCGAAGCAAAGACUUUUGAGAAACGUGCGGCUAAAACAUCGAGCAAACGUCAGUCGAGAUAAACUCGCCAGUUUUCACCGUCCAGGGCGAAACGGAAUUGCCAUUCGGGCGCGAACUCUUAGUACACGAAAAUCCACUUUUCUCGGUGCAUGUGAUUCUCGGCUUCGGCAUCACACACGCACACACCUCUGUAGACUCUGACAAGAUUUGCUGCAGCUGUGUCGCUUACGAUCCUUGUUCAAUGGCAACGAAUACUUGAUUUAGCAAUGGAUGUAUGUCUGCGUAUCUGUCAAAUACUAUAUGCAAGUAAUAAAUGCGAUUUUAUGCAUAAGUGAAUAUAAAUAUUUGUUGAAAGCGUCCUUAAAGUCGAUUAUGAAGUUUCUCGAGUGAGCAGAUCGCCAAAUUGCGAAGGGAAUUUCCUCGAACUGGUUUCUCUUCGAUGCGCCGUUCAGGGAACAUGAAUUUGGAAAAAUCGCGGUCAAGCCCCACCAGAACUUUUGCAAUUUCUUGAGACCGAUUUUUCUAUAUUUAUUUUAAAAAAUCUUAAUCGGAGAGAAACGUUUCUUGGUCACUUUCCCUUUCGGAAUUCAGCGAGCUCUUCACCCUCGAAAUUUCGAUCUCAAUUUUCAGGACACCCUGCAAAUGUAUGUUCAUUCGUGUACUCGUACGUAGCACUCCUUAAAUCACGCCUCGAUUCCCUCUUGAAUAACCAAGUUGCACACACUGUCUCUGUCCUCGUAUUUGUUUCCUUUAAAAAUAAUGUUUUCAGUCUGAAUUAUCUUGCGUCAUAAAUCCUGGACCACGAUUCACCUUCUUCUUCUUCUUCAUCUUCUCUCUCUCUCUUCUUAUUCUUCCUCUUCUCCGUCACGAUCGUUUUGUCAUUGCGAAUAUAUUCAUGGAUUUAAAUUCAAGACGAAGUGAAAUUUUCACCAGCUCGACGUAAACUCGUGUCGUAACAAACGAUUAAAUAUAUAGGCGAGCCACAAAAACGACCGACGGUGACCCAAGGUAUUCAAAUUGUCGAUUAUUGAACAGUAGAUCCGCCAGUUCCCAGAUCAAAGCGACACGUUCGAUUCCCAUUUUUGCUCUAGCUGUGUCGAUUUUUAUUUUUCACCAUUUCUCUUCAUUUCGAGUCUAUUUUUAUACGAAAUUUUUGAAUCCACUUCGAGUGAACUCCUUCGAAAGAAGUGCUGAUCGGACGAUGGGCCUGAGUCGAUGCUAACUCAAAUUUUUCCAUCAAAGUUCAUUUUUUUUCUUCAAAAUGUCGAACAAAUUUUCACGUUUCAGUUCCGGAUUACCUUUUUAAAGGAAAAUUAAGAAAAACAAACAAACGAAUUCAAAUCUCAGAUGAGGCUAUUGGUGGAAAAUAAGAUCCAAAUUUCUUCCUCCGUUUUUUCAAUAUUCAUUCCCAAUCUGACUUUUCUCCAAAGCUCAAACUUCUUCAAAAUUCCUCUCUUAUGAACUAUCGUCUGGAAGAAUAAAAAUUUGAUGGAUUUCUGAAAACUAGUGUUUUUCGCAUAAAAUUAUUAUUUGUAUUACAAUUAUUAUUAUCAUUAUUUAUUUUUUUAUUCCUUUUUUUUUUUCAAUCGUUGCUGCAUUGUUAUAUUUUUAUUUGAUUUAUAGUAGUUUGAUUAUUUUGCAACCGUGAGUCUUGCCUGGAAAGUAAUGGUAGAAACGUAGAAAAAAAUACGUAGUCAAUCACUCGGAUUAUUCGUGUUAGAAUAUUAAAAAAAAAAAAAAAAAUGGCGUUUUUCA